Molecule: small nucleolar RNA, 71 nt
Filed under: Ursus americanus (American black bear)
Lineage: Eukaryota; Metazoa; Chordata; Mammalia; Carnivora; Ursidae
Also listed under: 3 other names
Description: Small nucleolar RNA SNORD49 (ENSUAMG00000016077.1)
Rfam family: Small nucleolar RNA SNORD49
About the family: U49 belongs to the C/D class of snoRNA which contain the C (UGAUGA) and D (CUGA) box motifs.
Source: Rfam by way of RNAcentral
UGCUCUGAUGAAAUCUCUUAUAGGAAGUGCCGUCAGAUGCGAUAACUGACGAUAACCAUUCCUGGCUGACU